CCUACGGGUGGCAGCAGUGAGGAAUAUUGGUCAAUGGGCGAGAGCCUGAACCAGCCAAGUCGCGUGAGGGAGUACUGCCCUAUGGGUUGUAAACCUCUUUUGUCGGGGAGCACAAGCCGGACGUGUCCGGCUGUGAGAGUACCCGAAGAAAAUGAAUCGGCUAACUCCGUGCCAGCAGCCGCGGUAAUACGGAGGAUGCGAGCGUUAUCCGGAUGUAUUGGGUUUAAAGGGUGCGCAGGCGGAUUUUUAAGUCAGCGGUCAAAUCGUGGGGCUUAACCCCAGCCCGCCGUUGAUACUGGUGAUCUAGAGUGGGCGAGAGGUAUGCGGAAUGCGUGGUGGAGCGGUGAAAUGCAUAGAUAUCACGCAGAACCCCGAUGGCGAAGGCAGCAUACCGGUGCACAACUGACGCUCAGGGACGAAAGCGUGGGUAUCGAACAGGAUUAGAUACCCCGGUAGUC
This 458-nucleotide ribosomal RNA is filed under the name uncultured bacterium. RNAcentral describes it as "partial 16S ribosomal RNA". It matches the Rfam family "Bacterial small subunit ribosomal RNA", at positions 338 to 795 of the family's 1533-position model. The record is from RNAcentral.